UGGGGAAUAUUGGACAAUGGGCGAAAGCCUGAUCCAGCCAUGCCGCGUGAGUGAAGAAGGCCUUAGGGUUGUAAAGCUCUUUCGGCGGGGAAGAUAAUGACGGUACCCGCAGAAGAAGCCCCGGCUAACUCCGUGCCAGCAGCCGCGGUAAUACGGAGGGGGCUAGCGUUGUUCGGAUUUACUGGGCGUAAAGCGCGCGUAGGCGGGCUGUUAAGUCGGGGGUGAAAUCCUGGGGCUCAACCUCAGAAUUGCCUUCGAUACUGGCAGCCUUGAGUGCGAGAGAGGUGAGUGGAAUUCCCAGUGUAGAGGUGAAAUUCGUAGAUAUUGGGAAGAACACCAGUGGCGAAGGCGGCUCACUGGCUCGGUACUGACGCUGAGGUGCGAAAGCGUGGGGAGCAA
RNAcentral lists this ribosomal RNA (399 nucleotides) under uncultured bacterium. Its description in RNAcentral is "bacterial SSU rRNA". It matches the Rfam family "Bacterial small subunit ribosomal RNA", at positions 355 to 771 of the family's 1533-position model. The record is from RNAcentral.